Molecule: ribosomal RNA, 496 nt
Filed under: uncultured bacterium
Lineage: Bacteria
Description: bacterial SSU rRNA
Rfam family: Bacterial small subunit ribosomal RNA
Source: RNAcentral
AAUGAACGUUGGCGGCGUGGAUUAGGCAUGCAAGUCGUGCGCGAAGGGUUUGGUGCUUGCAUUAGACCUGGAAAGCGGCGAAAGGGAGAGUAACGCGUAGGGUACCUACCCUCAGGCCUGGGAUAGCGGCGGGAAACUGCCGGUAAUACCGGAUAAUGUCUCCGGACCAAAGGUGUGAUUCCGCCUGGGGCUGGUCCUGCGUCCUAUUAGCUAGUUGGCAGGGUAAUGGCCUACCAAGGCGAUGAUGGGUAGCGGGCGUGAGAGCGUGGCCCGUCUCACUGGGACUGAGACACUGCCCAGACACCUACGGGUGGCUGCAGUCGAGAAUCUUCCGCAAUGGGCGCAAGCCUGACGGAGCGACGCCGCGUGCGGGAUGAAGGCCUUCGGGUUGUAAACCGCUGUCAGUGGGGUGGAAAUGCAUGAGGGUUCUCUCUCAUGUUUGACCUAACCGCAGAGGAAGUCCGGGCUAAGUACGUGCCAGCAGCCGCAGUAACAC